CCCAGUAGCUGGGAUUACAGACAUGCACCACCACGCCCGGCUAAUUUUGUAUUUUUAGUAGAGAUGGGGUUUCACCAUGUUGGCCAAGCUGGUCUUGAACUCCUGACCUCAGGCGAUCCUCCCACCUCGGCCUCCCAAAGUACUGGGAUUACAGGCGUGAGUCACUGCACCCGUCCUAGAACAGCAUCCUUCUUUAAAGGAAGGGCUUUAAGUAUAGGCCCAAGAACUUGGUGAUGACUCUCAGGAUGAGGAGACAUCUGGGAGGGGGAGAAGUGACACAGGAACCUCCAAAAGUGGACCCCUUUGACUCCACCUAUCAGAUUUCAUUGUUUGACCCGUAUUACAGGUGACAGAAUUUCAGGUUUCACUUUUAAAGUGCCCAUUUCCAAACCAUUUGUCUAUGAAUAUGUGCAAGAAAGACAAGAGAAAAGGGUGCUGACAUGAUGCCCGACUUGCCCUUGUAUGAAGCACCCCUAAAGUGUCCUAGGCCUGCAGAAAUGAAGGGGAGACCACAAGAAGAGGCAGAAGACAGGAACAAGACCAGCUCGCUUUGUUCCUAAGCAAGGACUUUUCUCCCAGCAGCCCAUUUCCAGGGAACCCAAGUGCUGGAUUAUUUUGCAACUGGGCUCAACUCUCUUGAGUUUUCUGAGGGCAGCACCAGCAUGAGACCAUCCUUUACAGGACGGCGUCCUGUUCCACCUUACACUCUGACCCGUGCCAUUCUUGGUUCCUCGAACAUGGAGCUCUGGAAAGGAAGGACUGAUACAGGCUGGCUGUAGAUCAGAAGAGGAUUCCAGCAUAGAGAGAGAAUUUAAAAUAUGAGAAAAGGAGAAUU
Molecule: long non-coding RNA, 835 nt
Organism: Cercocebus atys (sooty mangabey)
Lineage: Eukaryota; Metazoa; Chordata; Mammalia; Primates; Cercopithecidae
Exons: 2
Source: RefSeq, a predicted model, not a curated record